GGUGGAUUAGUGGCGAACGGGUGAGUAACACGUGAGUAACCUGCCCCCGACUUUGGGAUAAGCCCGGGAAACUGGGUCUAAUACCGGAUAUGACUUCCUGCCGCAUGGUGGGUUGUUGAAAGAUUUAUCGGUGGGGGAUGGACUCGCGGCCUAUCAGCUUGUUGGUGAGGUAAUGGCUCACCAAGGCGACGACGGGUAGCCGGCCUGAGAGGGUGACCGGCCACACUGGGACUGAGACACGGCCCAGACUCCUACGGGAGGCAGCAGUGGGGAAUAUUGCACAAUGGGCGGAAGCCUGAUGCAGCGACGCCGCGUGAGGGAUGACGGCCUUCGGGUUGUAAACCUCUUUCAGUAGGGAAGAAGCGAAAGUGACGGUACCUGCAGAAGAAGCGCCGGCUAACUACGUGCCAGCAGCCGCGGUAAUACGUAGGGCGCAAGCGUUAUCCGGAUUUAUUGGGCGUAAAGAGCUCGUAGGCGGUUUGUCGCGUCUGCCGUGAAAGUCCGAGGCUCAACCUCGGAUCUGCGGUGGGUACGGGCAGACUAGAGUGAUGUAGGGGAGACUGGAAUUCCUGGUGUAGCGGUGAAAUGCGCAGAUAUCAGGAGGAACACCGAUGGCGAAGGCAGGUCUCUGGGCAUUUACUGACGCUGAGGAGCGAAAGCA
This 661-nucleotide ribosomal RNA is filed under the name Glutamicibacter arilaitensis. Its description in RNAcentral is "bacterial SSU rRNA". It matches the Rfam family "Bacterial small subunit ribosomal RNA", at positions 86 to 761 of the family's 1533-position model. The record is from RNAcentral. Lineage: Bacteria; Bacillati; Actinomycetota; Actinomycetes; Micrococcales; Micrococcaceae.